This 80-nucleotide non-coding RNA is filed under the name Burkholderia sp. RNAcentral's name for it is "c-di-GMP sequence". It matches the Rfam family "c-di-GMP-I riboswitch aptamer". Rfam says of the family: GEMM was predicted in a large-scale screen for bacterial structured RNA regulatory elements. Genes associated with GEMM are involved in a diverse array of functions, including chemotaxis regulation, signal transduction, secretion and chitin. The record is from RNAcentral. Lineage: Bacteria; Pseudomonadati; Pseudomonadota; Betaproteobacteria; Burkholderiales; Burkholderiaceae.
UAGCGCAGUUGGCAAACCCGGAGUGAUCCGGCGACGCAAAGCUAUAGGGACUCCCCUGCGGGAGUUUGCCAGUUGCCCGU